This 429-nucleotide ribosomal RNA is filed under the name bacterium. RNAcentral describes it as "partial 16S ribosomal RNA". It matches the Rfam family "Bacterial small subunit ribosomal RNA", at positions 355 to 776 of the family's 1533-position model. RNAcentral also lists the same sequence under 6 other names. The record is from RNAcentral.
UGGGGAAUAUUGCGCAAUGGGGGCAACCCUGACGCAGCCAUGCCGCGUGAAUGAAGAAGGCCUUCGGGUUGUAAAGUUCUUUCGGUAGCGAGGAAGGCAUUUAGUUUAAUAGACUAGGUGAUUGACGUUAACUACAGAAGAAGCACCGGCUAACUCCGUGCCAGCAGCCGCGGUAAUACGGAGGGUGCGAGCGUUAAUCGGAAUAACUGGGCGUAAAGGGCACGCAGGCGGUGACUUAAGUGAGGUGUGAAAGCCCCGGGCUUAACCUGGGAAUUGCAUUUCAUACUGGGUCGCUAGAGUACUUUAGGGAGGGGUAGAAUUCCACGUGUAGCGGUGAAAUGCGUAGAGAUGUGGAGGAAUACCGAAGGCGAAGGCAGCCCCUUGGGAAUGUACUGACGCUCAUGUGCGAAAGCGUGGGGAGCAAACAGG